Molecule: ribosomal RNA, 457 nt
Filed under: uncultured bacterium
Lineage: Bacteria
Description: bacterial SSU rRNA
Rfam family: Bacterial small subunit ribosomal RNA
Source: RNAcentral
ACGAACGCUGGCGGCGUGCUUAACACAUGCAAGUCACGGGGGCCCAGGGGCAACUCUGGGCAACCGGCGAACGGGUGCGUAACACGUGAGCAACCUGCCUAUCUGCGGGGGAUAGCCGGCCCAACGGCCGGGUAAUACCGCAUACGUUCACGAGGGGACAUCCCCUUGUGAGGAAAACUCCGGUGCAGAUAGAGGGGCUCGCGGCCUAUCAGCUAGUUGGUGAGGUAACGGCUCACCAAGGCGACGACGGGUAGCUGGUCUGAGAGGAUGGCCAGCCACAUUGGGGACUGCGACACGGCCCAGACUCCUACGGGAGGCAGCAGUGGGGAAUAUUGCGCAAUGGACGAAAGUCUGACGCAGCGACGCCGCGUGUGGGAUGAAGCUCUCGGGGUGUAAACCACUGUUGCCCGGAAGAAUCUCCUGAUUUAUCAGGAUUGACGGUACCGGGUGAGGAAGC